CCUGGCCUGCUUGCCGCUUUGCCCGGCUCCGGCUCGGAGGCCUCGCUGUGGAGAAACGGGCCGCCCCCUCCUGUUCGCCAGACCCCCUUCUUGCCUGCACAGCCCUUUGCUCGAUUGGUGAUUAUGUCUGCGCUUGCUUUCUGCCUGUCUCUCCCUCUUGACCUCAGAUCAACGACUAGUAUUAGGUCCUGAAAAAAACUUGGUGAGUGGUGACCAGCAUUUUAUAAAAAUGAAACAAUGAGAGAGGGCAUCUCACAGUGAGUGCUCUUGCUCUGUGAAGCAUUUAUUUCACCUACACGUAUUUAAGUGGGUACUUGAUCAAGAUGCAAAGUGUAUUUCUUACAAUAAGUGCCAGACGAAAAAUGAAAGCCGCUGCAGAGAACACCUUACGGCAACCUGCACAUAGGCCCUGACUCCCCAUUUUACAGAGGAAACUGAGACCCAGCACAGGACAGCUGCCCCGCCUGCCCUUUGUGAAUCCCCCCAUUCCACCAGCACCUGGCAACAGUAAGAGAACAGUAUUGGGUUGGAGAAAAGGGAGCACAGAAGGAGCAGACGAGAAGAUGGAAAAGUCUUCUAAAUAUAUCUGCCGAGAUUUACCAGUGCAUCUCUGCUCCUGGAGAAUCGCGUUGGUGAGGAGAGGGCGGACAGCGCGGCCCCAGGGUUAGCCCAGCUCCAGUCAGAGAGGUCUCCAGGCAUCGGGGCAUCCUGCUCUUGGACAGGAGACAGACUCUCCCUCAGCACAACGCAGUCUUCCCCAGGGUGCACCUGUGUGGCGUUGGUGCCACCCCAGGUCUCCUGACCACCUCAGCGACCAUCUGGCCUUGUGGUCCCCCUGUACAGCAGAGUUCUUCCCCGCCCCCCACCACCACUUCCCAGGUCCAGAACACGACUUGCCUAAGGUCACAGGUUUUGUGCCUCGGAACUCUCGCCACAAUCUUCUGUGUGUGCUGGAUGUGGGGACGCGCUCCUCACCAACUGGAGCCGAUUCUACCUUGGAAGGGGGAGCUGGGUCCUGAGCUCCAGGAUCAGGGCAGGGGGCAGUUCCCGGAGACCUCUGAGAGCCCACUGGGCCCCCGGGUGUACAGCUGGGUGGUUCCCUGAGGACAUCAGUCACUGCAAAUGCCCGGGCAGGGCAGAGGCUAAAAAUAUACGUGGUGCACAGGUCCAGGAAGGCUGGCCCUGCCACUCAUUCCUUGGUGUCCUGCCCAAAGUGGAGGGCACUUGUGAAAGGUCUGAGAGGGGGAGCAGUUUUGUGGAGCCUCAACUUGGCCCGGGAGUCCAUUGGUGUGGUCUGUUCUCCGUGCGAGGGCACACCCCUCCCUGAACAGCAGCUCCACCCUAAACAGCUGUCCACAGUGCCCACCCGCUCGGUCAUCACCAAGCCUUAGACUCCUGAGCCUGGGGAUGUAGAGAAGCUGAAAAACCCUGGGCAGGUUGGACUCCCUGCCUCAGUUUCUCCUUUUGCCAGAUUGAGAAGACAGCUGUCCUGCCCAUCUCACUGCUGGAUGUGAGGACCCCAGAAGAUAAUGCCUGUGAUGGGCUUUUGAGAGGCGCUAGGGGCUCGUGCAUGGGAGACGGUGGUCCCUGCAGAGGACCACAGAAGCAGCUGGCCGGCUUUCCACUGUACCCAUGAGCCACGUACCAAGCCCUGUGUGUUCAGAGGACAGCGUCCCUUAUUAAGGACAGGUGUGAAGAUAAGGACCCAGGACCCGGCCUGGGGUUCCAUCGCAGCCCGUGUCCUGUAGCAGGUGAGGGGCACGUGGCCACAGAAGGCCACUUUGUGACUGAUGUGAACCUGAGAAAGAAUGAUGGGCCCAGCCACUGAUUUCACAGGUAUCAUUGCUUAGUAGGAGCAAAACAAAACAGCAGACGCUCACUGGAGCGUUUUCACAGCAGAGCUGGAGACCCCCACGACCCGUGACCUCUAGCAGGAGACUGGGUCAGCCUGGGCACCACACGUGAGCAGACCGUGGCCGCACAGACAGGGCCACGAGGGAAAGACACACAGAGAACAAAUGCCCUGUACAGAGUCACAGGCCCCCGCAACGUACACAGGCUGUUAGAGCAACGUGUGAGGGGAGCCUGGUCUUCGUCUGAUGCUGUCUGGGGACAGGGUGUCCACGUCUCAGCAGGGCUGUUCCUUCAUUUGGAGAUGAAAGGCACUUCCCUGCUCAGAGGAGCGCCUUGGCACCAGGCGUCCACGUGCUCUGUCAGCAGUCACCCAAGGGGCCGACUUCCGUACUCAGAUGAGCAGGGCAGAUAGAGGUUUCUUUUACCACAGGCCUCGGGAGAGGACUGGCGGCCUGCUCCUGGGAAAGCUGUGCUGGGGCUACUGCACAAGCAGCCAGCCUUUUAUCCCAGUCAGUCAUGUAGCACAGGGGUCCCCGACCCCCGGGCCGUGGACCAGUACCGGUCCGCGCCUGUCAGGAACCAGGCCGCACAGCGGGAGGUGAGCGGCGGGCGAGUGAGUGAGGCUUCAUCUGCCGCCCCCCAUCACUCCCCAUCGCUCGCAUUACCGCCUGAGCCAUCCCCCCAUCCCCUGCCGUCCGUGGAAAAAUUGUCUUCCAUGAAACCGGUCCCUGGUGCCAAAAAGGUUGGGGACCGCUGAUGUAGCACAGGAGACGCAGGCCUUCAGCCUGGAGUCCCCAGACCUUACAGCUCCAGGUCUUCAGGCCUGUGGUCACCAUCCCUGCCCUGAUACAAGCAGACCUCAGAGAUGUUGUGGGUUCCGUUCCAGACCACCGCAAUAAAGCGGAUAUCACAAUAAA
This is a long non-coding RNA of Balaenoptera ricei (Rice's whale), 2771 nucleotides long. RefSeq lists it as uncharacterized. Lineage: Eukaryota; Metazoa; Chordata; Mammalia; Artiodactyla; Balaenopteridae. The record is from RefSeq and is a predicted model, not a curated record. The transcript is spliced from 3 exons.